CCCUGUGCCGCCGUAAACACAAUGAGUACCCCGCCUGGGGAGUACGGUCGCAAGAUUAAAACUCAANNNAAUUGACGGGGACCCGCACAAGCAGCGGAGCAUGUGGUUUAAUUCGAAGCAACGCGAAGAACCUUACCUAGACUUGACAUCUCCUGCAUUACCUUUAAUCGGGGAAGCUCCUUCGGGAGCAGGAAGACAGGUGGUGCAUGGUUGUCGUCAGCUCGUGUCGUGAGAUGUUGGGUUAAGUCCCGCAACGAGCGCAACCCCUAUUGUUAGUUGCUACCAUUAAGUUGAGCACUCUAGCAAGACUGCCGUGGUUAACGCGGAGGAAGGUGGGGAUGACGUCAAAUCAUCAUGCCCCUUAUGUCUAGGGCUACACACGUGCUACAAUGGCGAGUACAAAAAGAAGCGAAAUCGUGAGGUGGAGCAAAACUUUUAAAACUCGUCUCAGUUCGGAUUGCAGGCUGAAACUCGCCUGCAUGAAGCCGGAGUUGCUAGUAAUCGCGAAUCAGAAUGUCGCGGUGAAUACGUUCCCGGGUCUUGUACACACCGCCCGUCACACCAUGAGAGUUGGCAAUACCCGAAGUCCGUAGCCUAACCUUUUAGGAGGGCGCGGCCGAAGGUAGGGUCAGCGAUUGGGGUGAAGUCGUAACAAGGUAACC
This 662-nucleotide ribosomal RNA is filed under the name uncultured bacterium. RNAcentral's name for it is "bacterial SSU rRNA". It matches the Rfam family "Bacterial small subunit ribosomal RNA", at positions 839 to 1501 of the family's 1533-position model. The record is from RNAcentral.